Molecule: ribosomal RNA, 449 nt
Filed under: uncultured bacterium
Lineage: Bacteria
Description: partial 16S ribosomal RNA
Rfam family: Bacterial small subunit ribosomal RNA
Source: RNAcentral
AAUGAACGCGGGCGGCAGGCCUAACACAUGCAAGUCGAACGGAUCCUUCGGGAUUAGUGGCGGACGGGUGAGUAACGCGUGGGGACAUACCCUUUGGUACGGAAUAGCCUCGGGAAACUGGGAGUAAUACCGUAUGUGGUCGAGAGACGAAAGAUUUAUCGCCAAAGGAUUGGCCCGCGUUGGAUUAGGUAGUUGGUGGGGUAAUGGCCUACCAAGCCGACGAUCCAUAGCUGGUUUGAGAGGAUGAUCAGCCACACUGGGACUGAGACACGGCCCAGACUCCUACGGGAGGCAGCAGUGGGGAAUCUUAGACAAUGGGGGAAACCCUGAUCUAGCCAUGCCGCGUGAUCGAUGAAGGCCUUAGGGUUGUAAAGAUCUUUCAGGUGGGAAGAUAAUGACUGUACCACCAGAAGAAGCCCCGGCUAACUCCGUGCCAGCCGCCGCAGUAA